Molecule: ribosomal RNA, 1375 nt
Filed under: bioreactor sludge metagenome
Description: bacterial LSU rRNA
Rfam family: Bacterial large subunit ribosomal RNA
Source: RNAcentral
CGACCGAUAGUGAACAAGUACCGUGAGGGAAAGGUGAAAAGCACCCCAACGAGGGGAGUGAAACAGAUCCUGAAAUCGGAAGCCUACAAGCAGUCGGAGCCCCCAUGCGGGGUGACGGCGUACCUUUUGUAUAAUGGGUCAGCGACUUCAUGUGUCGAGCAAGCUUAAGCCGUUAGGUGUAGGCGCAGCGAAAGCGAGUCUGAAUAGGGCGCUAAGUUCGACGUAUGACGACCCGAAACUAGGUGAUCUAUCCAUGAGCAGGAUGAAGGUUGGGUAACACCAACUGGAGGUCCGAACCCGUGAAUGUUGAAAAAUUCUGGGAUGACUUGUGGAUAGGGGUGAAAGGCCAAUCAAACCUAGACAUAGCUGGUUCUCCGCGAAAUCUAUUUAGGUAGAGCGUCCGACGAAUUCCCUGGGGGGUAGAGCACUGGAUGGUUGCGGGCUGCGCGAGCGGUACCAAUACUAACCAAACUCCGAAUACCCAGGAGAACUAUCGGGCAGACACACGGCGGGUGCUAACGUCCGUCGUGAAAAGGGAAACAACCCUAACCAUCAUCUAAGGCCCCCAAGUCAUGGCUAAGUGGGAAACGAUGUGGGAUUGCUUUGACAAUCAGGAGGUUGGCUUAGAAGCAGCCAUCCUUUAAAGAAAGCGUAACAGCUCACUGAUCAAGCGAUCCUGCGCGGAAAAUGUAACGGGGCUCAAGCCAUGCGCCGAAGAUAUGGGUUUGCAGUUUACUGCAAGCGGUAGCGGAGCGUUCCGUAAGCCGGUGAAGGUCAGGCGUGAGCCUGGCUGGAGGUAUCGGAAGUGAGAAUGCUGACAUGAGUAACGAUAAACAGUGUGAGAAACACUGUCGCCGAAAGACCAAGGGUUCCUGCGUAAAGCUAAUCUGCGCAGGGUUAGUCGGCCCCUAAGGCGAGGCUGAAAAGCGUAGUCGAUGGGAAGCAGGUAAAUAUUCCUGCACCAGCUAGAAGUGACGGAUGGCGUAAGUUGUCGGGGCUUAUUGGAUUGUCCCGGCAGCGAAGUUGUCCCUGGAAAUAACUCUAGCAGAGACCGUACCCGAAACCGACACAGGUGGUCAGGUAGAGCAUACCAAGGCGCUUGAGAGAACUGUGCUGAAGGAACUCGGCAAAUUGCACGCGUAACUUCGGAAUAAGCGUGACUCACCCAGCGCAAGCUGGACUGAGUGGCACAAGCCAGGGGGUAGCGACUGUUUAGCAAAAACACAGGGCUCUGCGAAGCAGCAAUGCGACGUAUAGGGUCUGACGCCUGCCCGGUGCCUGAAGGUUAAAGGGAGUUGUGAAAGCGACGAACUGAAGCCCAGGUAAACGGCGGCCGUAACUAUAACGGUCCUAAGGUAGCGAAAUUCCUUGUCGG